This 1557-nucleotide ribosomal RNA is filed under the name Staphylococcus aureus. RNAcentral's name for it is "16S ribosomal RNA". It matches the Rfam family "Bacterial small subunit ribosomal RNA". Lineage: Bacteria; Bacillati; Bacillota; Bacilli; Caryophanales; Staphylococcaceae. The record is from RNAcentral.
UUUUAUGGAGAGUUUGAUCCUGGCUCAGGAUGAACGCUGGCGGCGUGCCUAAUACAUGCAAGUCGAGCGAACGGACGAGAAGCUUGCUUCUCUGAUGUUAGCGGCGGACGGGUGAGUAACACGUGGAUAACCUACCUAUAAGACUGGGAUAACUUCGGGAAACCGGAGCUAAUACCGGAUAAUAUUUUGAACCGCAUGGUUCAAAAGUGAAAGACGGUCUUGCUGUCACUUAUAGAUGGAUCCGCGCUGCAUUAGCUAGUUGGUAAGGUAACGGCUUACCAAGGCAACGAUGCAUAGCCGACCUGAGAGGGUGAUCGGCCACACUGGAACUGAGACACGGUCCAGACUCCUACGGGAGGCAGCAGUAGGGAAUCUUCCGCAAUGGGCGAAAGCCUGACGGAGCAACGCCGCGUGAGUGAUGAAGGUCUUCGGAUCGUAAAACUCUGUUAUUAGGGAAGAACAUAUGUGUAAGUAACUGUGCACAUCUUGACGGUACCUAAUCAGAAAGCCACGGCUAACUACGUGCCAGCAGCCGCGGUAAUACGUAGGUGGCAAGCGUUAUCCGGAAUUAUUGGGCGUAAAGCGCGCGUAGGCGGUUUUUUAAGUCUGAUGUGAAAGCCCACGGCUCAACCGUGGAGGGUCAUUGGAAACUGGAAAACUUGAGUGCAGAAGAGGAAAGUGGAAUUCCAUGUGUAGCGGUGAAAUGCGCAGAGAUAUGGAGGAACACCAGUGGCGAAGGCGACUUUCUGGUCUGUAACUGACGCUGAUGUGCGAAAGCGUGGGGAUCAAACAGGAUUAGAUACCCUGGUAGUCCACGCCGUAAACGAUGAGUGCUAAGUGUUAGGGGGUUUCCGCCCCUUAGUGCUGCAGCUAACGCAUUAAGCACUCCGCCUGGGGAGUACGACCGCAAGGUUGAAACUCAAAGGAAUUGACGGGGACCCGCACAAGCGGUGGAGCAUGUGGUUUAAUUCGAAGCAACGCGAAGAACCUUACCAAAUCUUGACAUCCUUUGACAACUCUAGAGAUAGAGCCUUCCCCUUCGGAGGACAAAGUGACAGGUGGUGCAUGGUUGUCGUCAGCUCGUGUCGUGAGAUGUUGGGUUAAGUCCCGCAACGAGCGCAACCCUUAAGCUUAGUUGCCAUCAUUAAGUUGGGCACUCUAAGUUGACUGCCGGUGACAAACCGGAGGAAGGUGGGGAUGACGUCAAAUCAUCAUGCCCCUUAUGAUUUGGGCUACACACGUGCUACAAUGGACAAUACAAAGGGCAGCGAAACCGCGAGGUCAAGCAAAUCCCAUAAAGUUGUUCUCAGUUCGGAUUGUAGUCUGCAACUCGACUACAUGAAGCUGGAAUCGCUAGUAAUCGUAGAUCAGCAUGCUACGGUGAAUACGUUCCCGGGUCUUGUACACACCGCCCGUCACACCACGAGAGUUUGUAACACCCGAAGCCGGUGGAGUAACCUUUUAGGAGCUAGCCGUCGAAGGUGGGACAAAUGAUUGGGGUGAAGUCGUAACAAGGUAGCCGUAUCGGAAGGUGCGGCUGGAUCACCUCCUUUCUAA